AGUAGGGAGGAAGGUAGUGUAGUUAACAUCUGCAUUAUUUGACGUUACCUACAGAAGAAGCACCGGCUAACUCCGUGCCAGCAGCCGCGGUAAUACGGAGGGUGCGAGCGUUAAUCGGAAUUACUGGGCGUAAAGACGCAUGCAGGCGGCCUGUUAAGUCAGAUGUGAAAGACCCGGGGCGUUAACCUCGGAAUUGCAUUUGAAACUAGGCAGGCUAGAGUCUUGUAGAGGGGGGUAGGAAGUUUCUAGGUGUAGCGGUGAAAUAGCGUAGAGAUCUGAAGGAAUACCAGUGGCGAAGGCGGCCCCCUCGGACAAAGACUGACGCUCAGAUGCGAAAGCGUGGGGAGCAAACAGGAUUAGAUACCCUGGUAG
RNAcentral lists this ribosomal RNA (372 nucleotides) under uncultured bacterium. Its description in RNAcentral is "bacterial SSU rRNA". It matches the Rfam family "Bacterial small subunit ribosomal RNA", at positions 438 to 793 of the family's 1533-position model. The record is from RNAcentral.